GGCGGUUCUCGGAUGACGCACCCCGAAUCCGGCUCCCUCCUCUCUGGUUCCGGCUGCAUAACCGGAGAACCGCA
Molecule: non-coding RNA, 74 nt
Organism: Myotis brandtii (Brandt's bat)
Lineage: Eukaryota; Metazoa; Chordata; Mammalia; Chiroptera; Vespertilionidae
Source: Rfam